GGAGUAACGACGUGGGUAACCGUAGCCUCAUACACAUGGAUAACAUACCGAAAGGUAUGCUAAUACAGGAUAACAUAAGAGAUUCACAUGGAUUUCUUAUCAAAGCUCCGGCGGUAUGAGAUGGACCCGCGUCUGAUUAGCUAGUUGGUAAGGUAACGGCUUACCAAGGCGACGAUCAGUAGCCGACCUGAGAGGGUGAUCGGCCACAUUGGAACUGAGACACGGUCCAAACUCCUACGGGAGGCAGCAGUGGGGAAUAUUGCACAAUGGGCGAAAGCCUGAUGCCAGCAACGCCGCGUGAGUGAUGAAGGCCUUCGGGUCGUAAAACUCUGUCCUCAAGGAAGAUAAUGACGGUACUUGAGGAGGAAGCCCCGGCUAACUACGUGCCAGCAGCCGC
RNAcentral lists this ribosomal RNA (397 nucleotides) under uncultured bacterium. RNAcentral's name for it is "bacterial SSU rRNA". It matches the Rfam family "Bacterial small subunit ribosomal RNA", at positions 107 to 518 of the family's 1533-position model. The record is from RNAcentral.